Molecule: long non-coding RNA, 970 nt
Organism: Tympanuchus pallidicinctus (lesser prairie-chicken)
Lineage: Eukaryota; Metazoa; Chordata; Aves; Galliformes; Phasianidae
Exons: 2
Source: RefSeq, a predicted model, not a curated record
GUUGUUUCCCUGGAAAAUCCUGCAGAGGAAGAACACCUCCACCCCAAAGCCGCCCCGGCAGUUGUUGCUGGGCGUUGCUGCUGUCCCACGCCGCACUGAUGCUGUUCAGCCUUAUGGCAGCAGUGGUUUUUGUUUGCUGUCCGUCUUGCCAAGCUCAUCUCUCCAUGCAAAUGCAAGCGGCGUAAUGAAAGGCGCUCACAGUGUCUUCCUUGAGGAGCGCUAGAUUUUGGUUUAAUCCCUUUCUGUCAAUGGGAAGCACAGCGUCUGUGUUUGUUUCACAGCUUUCUGCUGGUUCCAGGAGCAGUCUGGCAGAGCCUGCAGUUACUGAGCGAGAGUUAGAAAGGGUUUGUUUGAAGUUCUCUGCAUUGCACAGCAUGUGGGCUCUCGGUUCUGCCCCAGCACUGUCAGCCAGCAGCUGUUCCAAUGGGGCAGCAGAAGGACUUUGUGACCAAGGGAAGAAAUCUGUGCCAAAUGUCUGCAGCUGAAGAAGGGCAGCAACUGCGUGACCUGAGCAGAGGAGAUGGCAGCAGGCGAUGGUUAAAGCUGGCUCAGGUCCAACCCAGUCUGAUUUUUAGAGCUGAGAAUGCAGUGUUUGUUUAUGCAGAAGUUAAAAGCAUAAGCUAAGCUGCUAUUAAUUACAGCCUUCUUUGUGUGCGAGUUCUCCAGGAGUUCAGCCUGAUUCCUCGUAUUGUUGGCCAGACAAAGGGCAAGGAGCUCUGUGUGAGGAGAGGAAAUGACUGCGUUCUGUGCCCUGAAUGUCCAUAUUAGGUAUAAACUAAAUAUAGGAGUGUAAUCCAGGGGUGAAGUCAUAUCUGUGUGUUUUCAUGGGAAGAGCUAAUGAGAUCAGUCAGCGCUACUGGAUCGCCUUCAGAGCUUUUUGGCUCCGUUCAAGAAUGACUAUUUUGGCUAGACUUUGGUCUGUGCUUUGGAGGGCUGCUAUUUUUAAAUGAAGGAAAUAGAUAUAUUUUUU